This 441-nucleotide ribosomal RNA is filed under the name uncultured Erysipelothrix sp. Its description in RNAcentral is "bacterial SSU rRNA". It matches the Rfam family "Bacterial small subunit ribosomal RNA", at positions 937 to 1382 of the family's 1533-position model. Lineage: Bacteria; Bacillati; Bacillota; Erysipelotrichia; Erysipelotrichales; Erysipelotrichaceae. The record is from RNAcentral.
UUAUGUUGUUUAAUUCGAACGCAACGCGAAGAACCUUACCAGGCCUUGACAUACUCAGCAAAACCCUAGAGAGUAGGGUGGAGGUUAUCUGGGAUACAGGUGGUGCAUGGUUGUCGUCAGCUCGUGUCGUGAGAUGUUGGGUUAAGUCCCGCAACGAGCGCAACCCUUGUCUUUAGUUACCAUCAUUCAGUUGGGGACUCUAGAGAGACUGCCGGUGAUAAACCGGAGGAAGUGGGGAUGACGUCAAAUCAUCAUGCCCCUUAUGGCCUGGGCUACAAACGUAAUACAAUGGCGUAUACAAAGGGAUGCGAAAGGGCGACCUGGAGCAAAACUCACAAAGUACGUCUCAGUUCAGAUUGGAGUCUGCAACUCGACUCCAUGAAGGCGGAAUCGCUAGUAAUCGCGGAUCAGCAUGCCGCGGUGAAUACGUUCUCGGGGUUU